This is a non-coding RNA of Paramormyrops kingsleyae, 692 nucleotides long. The record is from RefSeq and is a predicted model, not a curated record. Lineage: Eukaryota; Metazoa; Chordata; Actinopteri; Osteoglossiformes; Mormyridae.
GGCACUAAUAUGUGGUGGCACUGCUGUCUGCCUGUCACACGGAGGGAAACACGCUGCCAGGAGGAGCUUCUCUAUCUGCAUCUGGAUUUACUCUUUCUAUUCUGUUCCAUUUUUCUGUUCUAAGCUCAGACUGAGGAUGUUCCUACAGCGUCUGAAUUUGUCUGAAAGCCUUUUCUUCAUGACACAAUAUGGACAGCUCUACAGCGGUUCAGAACAGGAAGACAGGAGGAACAAAGAGAGCACUCAUUUGCUUUUGUAACAUCUCUCGACCCCAGGUGGCAGGACUUCAAUGACAAAGGCCACUCUGAAAGCAAACGGCACGAUGAUUUGUCGCGUGCAGCUGUGCAGCCGGCUUGCGACACUGCGGGGGCAGGCCUGGUGGAUUGUCAGUAGCGCAGCCAUCACCCACGCAGGUGCAGACGCCGUCUACGCGUAGAUUAAAAGUAGCUCCAAUGGAUUCGCACUCUAUAUGUUGCAGGGCUGAAGGGGAGACUGUGACACCACGGACGUGCAGCCACACCAAUGGGCAGGCGGCACACGAGCUGUGGUCAGUGCGAGUUCUUCUGGAUAAAGGUGCCAGCCUUACACUGCACCACCUUCCCUUUGAGCUUAUCUUCAUGACGCAGGGCAGGCGCUGGAUGUUCCAGCGCCUUGGGCAAGAUGAUUGUUAUAUUAAAAACAUUUCAGUAGCA